AAGAUUACACUUUCAGGGAUCAUUUCUAUAGUUUGUUAAAAGACAAAUGUGGGAAUGGAAUAGCAUAGCAGAAGCCCCAAUGCAGGAAAAAGAAGGCAGGCCAAAGUCAGCUAGCCAAGGGGC
This 123-nucleotide small nucleolar RNA is filed under the name Myotis brandtii (Brandt's bat). RNAcentral's name for it is "Small nucleolar RNA U3". It matches the Rfam family "Small nucleolar RNA U3". Rfam says of the family: Small nucleolar RNAs (snoRNAs) are involved in the processing and modification of rRNA in the nucleolus. There are two main classes of snoRNAs: the box C/D class, and the box H/ACA class. U3 snoRNA is a member of the box C/D class. Lineage: Eukaryota; Metazoa; Chordata; Mammalia; Chiroptera; Vespertilionidae. The record is from Rfam by way of RNAcentral.